Molecule: long non-coding RNA, 2138 nt
Filed under: Nicotiana benthamiana
Lineage: Eukaryota; Viridiplantae; Streptophyta; Magnoliopsida; Solanales; Solanaceae
Description: long non-coding RNA (NBEN_LNC006516)
Source: RNAcentral
CCAAAACAAGCCUCAUAAGAGAGGGGCAGAACUUUAUUAAUCUAAGAAUGAGUUCAAGUUCAUAAGGGAGGGGAAUCAGGAAAAGUUAUGGCAGGUUGGUGGUCAUGGCCAUCAAUUUGGAUGCUGGCAGACCCAUGACCAUCCUGCAAACCAAACAUUGAGAGUUCAGAUUUUAUUGUGGAUCAGGUUAUGACAUGGCAAUAAUUAGGAUACAACCAAGUUAAAACCUUAGGCACAUAGAAGGGGAUAGGGGUAGAGAUUCAUAAUAGAAAGCAGAGGCAAAGAAGGGAAAUAUGUAGCACAAAUUACUGAACAUGAGCAGUAAAGCAAACAAGAAGCCUGAAACUGUAAAGUAAACACAUAGGGGUGAGGUAACAUAUUUUAAUGAAAGACAUACCAGUAUCAAAGGAAAAAAAUUAAGAAAACAUGAGAGAGACAAGUUGCAAAUAAUAGUUCCAAAAAAAAGAUUUCAAGCAAAGCAGAAUUUAAAAAAAAAACAGUAUUGCAAGAAAGUAUGAGUUUAAGUGUGUGUUGUUAUAUUUUUUCCCGUACUUGUCUUUGUAAAGAGGAAGUCUAGGUCUUUAUAUAGUUUAAAAAAUAGGUAGCACAUAGGCAAAGAAUGCACAAACAUGGAAAUAGCAAUCAAUUUGUAUCAAUUAAAACAACUUGACUCCUUUGAUUAAGGAGUCUAGUUCAAAAAGCUAGCCAAGACAGAAUAAGGAAGAAAAACAGUUUAAUAAGGCUGAUUAGGGUACAGAAACAACAUGGCUCAUAAAGAAGGUCAAAUACAUAGUGGGUCAUUAAGGAAAGCUGGAUAGUAGUGAAAAUAGGGCGUCAGUUCGAAAAUCAAUCAAAAGGAUCCCUGAUCCAAUUGUAAUCACAAAGAAUCUCAAGUAAUUAAGGAAAAAGUCAUAUAAGUAUAGAAAUAAUUCAACCAUUGGUACAAAAUCAUAGAAGAUCAUGUAUUUAAGGAAAACAUCACAAGCAUAGGAUUUUUACACAAAAGGAUCAAAAUAAAGAGGUUCAAUCGAAAGAAAUUAGUAGGGAAUCAUUAGCCUGAUUAAAGGGAAUUCAAAAAUCGAUCCUUUGGUUGGUGAAACCUUUUGAAGUAGGAGUUAUUCUUAUACAAAAAUCAUAUAGAUCAAACAAAGAAAAAGUCUAAGAAUGAAAGUUUCAGAGUUACAAGCAAACAAGAUUCGAGUUCGAUUACAGGCUCAUAGUGGGUCUGAAAGCUUAGGGUUCAUUUGCCCAAUGAAAACCCCCAAAUCAUAGCGUUUUGAAUAGAGUCAGAGGUGAGAAAUCAAGGUCAUUGAGAGAGGCUCAGAGACCUUUAUCAUAUGACUUCUGAGAGGCAAAAAUAUGAGAUAGCAAACAGAUUGAUUCAAAGUCAUGCUUCGAGAGAAACUUGGAAUUCAAACAAAUUUCAGAAGUUUUAAACAAAGUAGAUAACAACAAUACUUAGCAGGAACAUCAACAAAACCCAGUAAGGGUAACAAAAUAAAAGAGCACAAACUUAAACAAAUAAGCAAAGAGUGCGGAACAACAACCUAAGUUAACAUGUGAACAGAAAAAGUCUUGCACAAUCGGAGAAGAAACGAAAAAGCAAACAGUAAGAGGAAGAACAUUCGAGUAUAAACACACAUAAAGAGAGAGCAAAAGAGUCAGAAAACAUUUAAAGAAACUUUUUCCAUAAACCCUAAAAAUCGAACAUGAACAAUUUUUAAAAGAAAAUCUGGGGAAAAGCUUUAAAACGCCAAGUAAAGACCAAGCAUGUCACAUAUCUGAAAUAAAUAAGCAACUAUUGAACCUUAGAAGGCUUAAAAAUGGCAGAGAAGACCCUAGAAUGAGAAGCUCUUGAGAAAGAUCGAAUCCUGAGUCGUAGAGUCUCAUAUUGCUUUGAACACGCCGGGAAAUGGCCGGAGAGGGCAUAGAUCUUGUAGAUCUGAGAUAGAUCUAAAGGAAGCCAUGGAAGUUGGCCUCCAAACAUUGGUAGGCUUAGUUUUAAUGGUGAAGGAGAGUGGGUACCGGCCACCUCUGGCCAAGAAUGCCAUGGAUUCCGAUGGAAAUAGGACGGAAGUAGGUGGGAAUUAGCUAGGGCUUUAGUGAGGUCUAGAGAGGAUUUGGGAGACGAAUGUGGC